UGGGGAAUAUUGCGCAAUGGGGGGAACCCUGACGCAGCAACGCCGCGUGAAGGAUGAAGGCUUUCGGGUUGUAAACUUCUUUGAUGAGGGACGAAAGAAAUGACGGUACCUCAAAAACAAGCCACGGCUAACUACGUGCCAGCAGCCGCGGUAAUACGUAGGUGGCGAGCGUUGUCCGGAAUUACUGGGUGUAAAGGGCGUGUAGGCGGGGAUGCAAGUCAGAUGUGAAAUGCCGGGGCUUAACUCCGGAGCUGCAUCUGAAACUGUGUUUCUUGAGUGUCGGAGAGGAAAGCGGAAUUCCCAGUGUAGCGGUGAAAUGCGUAGAUAUUGGGAGGAACACCAGUGGCGAAGGCGGCUUUCUGGACGAUAACUGACGCUGAGGCGCGAAAGCGUGGGGGAGCAAACAGGAUUAGAUACCCUGGUAGUCCACGCUGUAAACGAUGGAUACUAGGUGUAGGAGGUAUCGACCCCUUCUGUGCCGGAGUUAACACAAUAAGUAUCCCACCUGGGGGAGUACGGCCGCAAGGUUG
RNAcentral lists this ribosomal RNA (530 nucleotides) under uncultured bacterium. RNAcentral's name for it is "partial 16S ribosomal RNA". It matches the Rfam family "Bacterial small subunit ribosomal RNA", at positions 355 to 896 of the family's 1533-position model. The record is from RNAcentral.